Molecule: ribosomal RNA, 465 nt
Filed under: uncultured bacterium
Lineage: Bacteria
Description: bacterial SSU rRNA
Rfam family: Bacterial small subunit ribosomal RNA
Source: RNAcentral
CCCAGACUCCUACGGGAGGCAGCAGUGAGGAAUAUUGGUCAAUGGCCGGAAGGCUGAACCAGCCAAGCCGCGUGAGGGAAGACGGCCCUAUGGGUUGUAAACCUCUUUUGUCGGAGAACAAAACCCGGGACGUGUCCCGGACUGCGUGUAUCCGAAGAAAAAGCAUCGGCUAACUCCGUGCCAGCAGCCGCGGUAAUACGGAGGAUGCGAGCGUUAUCCGGAUUUAUUGGGUUUAAAGGGUGCGUAGGCGGGCGUUUAAGUCAGCGGUAAAAAUUCGGGGCUCAACCCCGUCCGGCCGUUGAAACUGGGGGCCUUGAGUGGGCGAGAAGAAGGCGGAAUGCGUGGUGUAGCGGUGAAAUGCAUAGAUAUCACGCAGAACCCCGAUUGCGAAGGCAGCCUUCCGGCGCCCUACUGACGCUGAAGCACGAAAGUGCGGGGAUCGAACAGGAUUAGAUACCCUUGUAA